UACACUGUCAGUGGGAAACGUUGCUUAAACAUAGGGGAACAUAGAUUCACGAUCCAUCAGAAUGAGGGUCCAAGGAUAAGGUGGAGGUGUGUUAAGAAGACUUCUGGGUGCGCGGCCUUUGUGACGACCAUCGAAAACAUCAUCAUACGCGUCCGACAAGUUCAUAACCACGUUUAGAUUCUUGUUGGGAAUGUUACCUGUCAAAUAUGCUUGAAUUGACUUAAAAAAAAGGAAAAGUAUGACUUAUUACUUCUACAUUUUCUUCGACUUUAAAAAAAAAAAUCAAGUCAAGUAUAUUAAGUAAGUCAAGUGAAGUUUUCUUUUUCC
RNAcentral lists this unclassified non-coding RNA (327 nucleotides) under Melitaea cinxia (Glanville fritillary). RNAcentral's name for it is "misc RNA ENSMCXG00005019542.1". The record is from RNAcentral. Lineage: Eukaryota; Metazoa; Arthropoda; Insecta; Lepidoptera; Nymphalidae.